This 492-nucleotide ribosomal RNA is filed under the name Triticum aestivum (bread wheat). RNAcentral describes it as "partial small subunit ribosomal RNA". The record is from RNAcentral. Lineage: Eukaryota; Viridiplantae; Streptophyta; Magnoliopsida; Poales; Poaceae.
AUGUCGUGGCAGACUUACGUGGACGAGCACCUGAUGUGCGACAUCGAGGGCCACCACCUCGCCUCCGCCGCCAUCCUCGGCCACGACGGCACCGUCUGGGCCCAGAGCGCCGACUUCCCGUCGGUACGUAAGCCAAGAAUGGCGAAUCCACUUGUUGCUAUUUGGCGCCUGCAUGAGCCAUGCUUCGACGAUCUUGACAUGUUUGCAUGCGUGAUCCAGUUCAAGCCGGAGGAGAUGACCAACAUCAUGAAGGACUUCGACGAGCCGGGGACCCUCGCCCCGACCGGGCUGCUACUCGGAGACGCCAAGUACAUGGUCAUCCAGGGUGAACCUGGCGCCGUCAUCCGCGGCAAGAAGGGCGCGGGAGGCAUCACCCUGAAGAAGACCGGGCAGGCGCUGGUGGUCGGCAUCUACGACGAGCCCAUGACCCCGGGGCAGUGCAACCUGGUGGUGGAGAGGCUGGGCGACUACCUGGUAGAGCAGGGCAUGUAG